UGGGGAAUAUUGGACAAUGGGCGAAAGCCUGAUCCAGCCAUGCCGCGUGUGUGAAGAAGGUCUUCGGAUUGUAAAGCACUUUAAGUUGGGAGGAAGGGCAGUAAAUUAAUACUUUGCUGUUUUGACGUUACCGACAGAAUAAGCACCGGCUAACUCUGUGCCAGCAGCCGCGGUAAUACAGAGGGUGCAAGCGUUAAUCGGAAUUACUGGGCGUAAAGCGCGCGUAGGUGGUUCGUUAAGUUGGAUGUGAAAUCCCCGGGCUCAACCUGGGAACUGCAUUCAAAACUGACGAGCUAG
This 297-nucleotide ribosomal RNA is filed under the name uncultured bacterium. RNAcentral describes it as "partial 16S ribosomal RNA". It matches the Rfam family "Bacterial small subunit ribosomal RNA", at positions 355 to 644 of the family's 1533-position model. The record is from RNAcentral.